RNAcentral lists this small RNA (101 nucleotides) under Chrysemys picta bellii (western painted turtle). Its description in RNAcentral is "TUC338 (ENSCPBG00000004154.1)". The record is from RNAcentral. Lineage: Eukaryota; Metazoa; Chordata; Testudines; Emydidae.
UAUUUAUCCAUAGAACAAAUACAGCAUAGGUAGAAACAGUGCAAACUACCACACCAACAUGCCUCAAAUCUAAUCUAGUGGGGCACUUCUGGGAGCUAAAA